This 515-nucleotide ribosomal RNA is filed under the name uncultured bacterium. Its description in RNAcentral is "partial 16S ribosomal RNA". It matches the Rfam family "Bacterial small subunit ribosomal RNA", at positions 28 to 523 of the family's 1533-position model. The record is from RNAcentral.
GAUGAACGCUGGCGGCGUGCCUAAUACAUGCAAGUCGAGCGAAUGGAUUAAGAGCUUGCUCUUAUGUAGUUAGCGGCGGACGGGUGAGUAACACGUGGGUAACCUGCCCAUAAGACUGGGAUAACUCCGGGAAACCGGGGCUAAUACCGGAUAACAUUUUGAACCGCAUGGUUCGAAAUUGAAAGGCGGCUUCGGCUGUCACUUAUGGAUGGACCCGCGUCGCAUUAGCUAGUUGGUGAGGUAACGGCUCACCAAGGCAACGAGGCGUAGCCGACCUGAGAGGGUGAUCGGCCACACUGGGACUGAGACACGGCCCAGACUGCUACGGGAGGCAGCAGUAGGGAAUCUUCCGCAAUGGACGAAAGUCUGACGGAGCAACGCCGCGUGAGUGAUGAAGGCUUUUGGGUCGUAAAACUCUGUUGUUAGGGAAGAACAAGUGCUAGUUGAAUAAGCUGACACCUUGACGGUACCUAACCAGAAAGCCACGGCUAACUACGUGCCAGCCGCCGCGGUAA